AGCGGAACAUAAAAGUAGCUUGCUACUUAGAUGUCGAGCGGCGGACGGGUGAGUAAUGCUUGGGGAACUGCCCAGUCGAGGGGGACAACUAUUGGAAACGAUAGCUAAUACCGCAUACGCCCUACGGGGGAAAGGAGGGGACUCUUCGGAGCCUUUCGCGAUUGGAUGUACCCAAGUGGGAUUAGCUAGUUGGUGAGGUAAUGGCUCACCAAGGCGACGAUCCCUAGCUGGUUUGAGAGGAUGAUCAGCCACACUGGAACUGAGACACGGUCCAGACUCCUACGGGAGGCAGCAGUGGGGAAUAUUGCACAAUGGGCGCAAGCCUGAUGCAGCCAUGCCGCGUGUAUGAAGAAGGCCUUCGGGUUGUAAAGUACUUUCAGCGAGGAGGAAAGGUUAGUAGUUAAUAACUGCUAGCUGUGACGUUACUCGCAAAAGAAGGACCGGCUAACUCCGUGCCAGCAGC
This 463-nucleotide ribosomal RNA is filed under the name uncultured bacterium. RNAcentral's name for it is "bacterial SSU rRNA". It matches the Rfam family "Bacterial small subunit ribosomal RNA", at positions 65 to 515 of the family's 1533-position model. The record is from RNAcentral.